AAAGAUUGUUAUUUAUGAGUUUUCAUGAUUUAUGUGAAUUGAGAUUUGAAGUUUAUGAUGUUGUUGAGUUUUAAUUCAUGUUUUGGUUACAAAGUUUCAAACUUUGGUCCUAGUAUGAGGUGAAUUUCAUGAUAUUCAUAAUAAACCCUACAAGAUGCGUGUUGAUUGAUGUAACCAUGUUAAUUAGGUGUAUUGAAUGUUGUAUGACCAAAGUAUGCUUCCCAUAUGUUUGAUAAAAUACUUCUGUGAAGGAAAUAGGGUCAUUAUAGCAUGUUGACAAGAAACCCCAAUUAUGUAUAAGUUCAUGCAUGCCAAGUGUUUGUUGAAAAGCCUUAGUGAAUGACUUUGAUAUGUUACAUGCAUUCCUAUUCAUGAGUAUUCCUUAUUGAAUAAGUUAUGAGACCACAACAUGCCUCUCUAUACUAUUACACAUUUAAGACCUCCAAGUUAUGAGACCACAACAUGCCUCUCUAUACUAUUACACGUUUAAGACCUCCAAGUUCUUGAAGAAGUCGCCUCAUUGAUUGUAUUGUGAAUGAUAGACUAUUGCCAUGUUAUGUACGAGUUGUCAUGUCUUGUAUUAUUUAUGUUAUCGAGUCCUGGGGGUAUUUAUACCCGAUAAUUUAGCUGAUUGUUUAGAGCCAGUGUCAGUUUUCUAGAUAAUCUCAGUCAUGACAAUCAGUAGAACUCAGACAGUUACAAAACUUAGGAAAUCUCAAUGAUCUCAGUAUCAGUAGCAUUCCAGCUUCAGUUCAGUAAUUAAUUCAGAACUCAGUAGUAUUCUAUUAGUUAGCGGAACCAAGUGAACUCAGUUUAGCUCAGUUAAUCAGUACAAUCAGUAACAGAUUCAGCGCAGCCUAGUACAGUUUAAGAAUCAGUUCAGAGUCUUUCAGUUGGAAGUAGAAUUCAGCACUGAGCGAGCCUAGGGAUGGGAGCUCACCCGUUAGAUAGGAUUGGGAUCCCUAGAAGCAAUCCCUAAGCUCCAGAACUACAUAGCCAGCAUAGGUACGAGAUGUCACCCAUUAGAUAGGACUGACAUACUCAGGGAUCACCCGCUAGUACAGGACUGAUCUCAGGGGUCGCCCGCUAGAUUAGAAAUGAACCCAUAGCAGUUGUCCUUACCCAUGGCACGGUACUGACACCCUUCUAGCUGCGGUUACAGGUUGGACCCCACUAGUUCAGAUUCGGGGCAUGUUGGUUAGAUGAAUACUUCCCACAAUCUCAGUUUCAGUCUCAGUCUUCAGAAUAGAACUCAGAUCAAGAUUGUAGAAAUGAGGACUGUCAGAUACAGUCACUCAGCUCAGUAAAGAACUUCGAUAGUUCCAAAGAUUUAGAGAUCACCCGUUAGAUAGGCUUGAUCUCAUAUUCAGUCAAUCAUAUUCACUAUCAGUAGAUUCAGAAAUUACCCGCUAGAUAGGCCUGAUCUCAGAUAUAAUUGAGGACUAUCAGUAACCUCAGAUAUCAGUUAUCAGUAGACCCAGU
RNAcentral lists this long non-coding RNA (1482 nucleotides) under Capsicum annuum. RNAcentral describes it as "long non-coding RNA (CANN_LNC011044)". Lineage: Eukaryota; Viridiplantae; Streptophyta; Magnoliopsida; Solanales; Solanaceae. The record is from RNAcentral.